Molecule: long non-coding RNA, 273 nt
Filed under: Physcomitrium patens
Lineage: Eukaryota; Viridiplantae; Streptophyta; Bryopsida; Funariales; Funariaceae
Description: long non-coding RNA (PPAT_LNC010849)
Source: RNAcentral
AUCAUACGAAUUCAGGCGUAGCAGGCGCACCUUCCCAACUAUUCACAACUCUUUACAAUAGGACCCAAUCAGCCACAAACUUACUCUAAUUAUGACCAGCUGUGAACAACAAAGUUGAUCGUAGUUAGGAAUCUCAAUGCUACCAUACCACGGUAAUCUGGCUCUAAUACCCCUUGGAUGCCAGAAAAGCCGCACACUCUAUGAAACAUUUAAACUCCAUCGACCCUUUCAAUUGAAUGCACGCAAGCUUCCAACGUCGAAGGUUGCUCGAUC